Molecule: long non-coding RNA, 2395 nt
Organism: Papaver somniferum (opium poppy)
Lineage: Eukaryota; Viridiplantae; Streptophyta; Magnoliopsida; Ranunculales; Papaveraceae
Exons: 4
Source: RefSeq, a predicted model, not a curated record
AUUGGGGUUUUAGGGUUUUCCGUCCUGCAGCUGCUCAAGAUUCAGUUUAGGCUCAAGAUUCAAUCAAGUGAAUUUAUAAUUCGACUGAGUUACCAAAAGUACUUCUUCAAGAUCACCCGUUUCUACAAGUUCAUCAGCUCAGGUUAGAAUUUUCAGGGUUUUUCUUUUCAAUUCAAGACUUGAAAAUUUGUGAGUUUAAGGAUUAAGCAGUUACACUUCAACAUCAGCCAUUUCUACACUCAAUAGGUACUUCUUUUUCCAUCUUUUACUUCUGGGUUGUUCAACUAUUGUGAAGAUGAAUGGUAGAGAUAUCCAAGGAUACCGUUUCUAAGUGAUUAAGCAAAUUUGAUUUUAGGGAUUUUCUUAAUUUGAAUGUUUGAAUGCUUAUAAUGUUAGUUGGUCACAGUCGGAGAUAAUUUUCAAGAUUUGAUUUGAGUUUUGUGGCCUAAUCUUCAAAUCAGAAACAUGAAAUUGAUUGGGUAGUGAUAUUGAGGCAUUCCGAGUUUCUAAGAGGUUUCGGAAUUGUUGGGUUGUGGAGGUUAGAUACGAAUUUGUAAUAUUUUUUUAGUUAGUUUCUUUUCUUCUAGCCGGAAAACACAGCAAACAAGUGGUGUCUUUGCAAGGAGGAUAAACAGGAGCAAUGUCAAUCAGCAAGAUUCCAGGUGAUAUCUGCAAGUCAAUCAUCUCAAGGCUACCAGUAAGAUCUGUAUUAGCAUGCAAAUGUGUAUGCAAGAGUUGGUUAAACCUAAUUUCUAAUUCAGAUGAUUUCGUGCAAAUGCAUCUUGAUUUUCAUAGACAAAACAAUACUUGUCUCAUGUUUGGUGGUCGCCACCACGAUAACAGAAUUCAAAUACACUCAAUUGGUUAUGACUCAUUAUCAGCAUUGUUACUGCCUGAAAUUGAAGAUGAUAAUCAUAAUGCUGUUGAACAGUAUUCUUCUUCAGCAUUGAGUGGGAUUGAUGUUUACGCAGAUCAAGUGGAUUAUCCAUUUAAAUACUUAGGUCAUGUUGAUUUAUGUGGUUCAUGUAAUGGUUGUGUCUGCCUAUGGUUUAAAGACUGUCAGAAUUGUAAUAAGGAGCAAUUCUUUUGCCUUUGGAACCCAGCAACCAAAGAAUACAAGAGAGUGUCCGAAGCACCAAAAAGCUACAGUUACAAUGACGUAAAUGUAUUUGCUUUUUUUUAUGAUCCCACAGCUGAUGAUUACAAGUUUGUUCUUGUUGUAUCCUCCCAUGAAAAAGAAAUUGAAAUGAGCUCUUUAGUCCAUGUCUAUUCGUUAGCAUCAGAUUCAUGGAAGAGCUUUCGAGUACCUUAUAGUUUCACUUUAUCCCAUCAAAAGUCUGGGGUUGUUUGUAAUGGAGAUCUUCAUUGGUUAGCCGUUACCUUUAGGCAAUUCAAUCAUUCCAUCGUCUCUUUGGAUGUUAGGAACGAGAAAUUUAAGGAAAUUCAACCACAACUAGAACAUAAAGAGCUUAUUGUUGUGGGGGGCAUUGGAAGAGUGCCUUUGUGUACUUGUUAAAAGUGAACUUAAUGCAUUUGAUAUAUGGGCAAUGCAAGUUCAUGGAGAUCCAAAAUUAUGGACUAAACGUUAUUCCAUCACCCAUGAGAUGAUAACUAACAGAUAUUGUUCUCGUUUGUCUGAUUUGAGGUUGAUGUGGUCCUUUAAAGAUGGCGUUAUUUUAUUCAUGGAUCCGAGUAACCUAGUUUUAUAUGACCCAAAGCAUGGGAGUGCUAUUAAAUGAAGGGUGAAGUAUAUGUCGGCAGAGAAUUAUUCAGAAAGCUUAGUUUCAUUAAACUCUGGUACAUAUGUCGGAGGAAGAACGAUUCUUAGGAACAGAAGCAACUCAGUUCUUGAAGCCCGUAAUGCUGAACUUGAAUCAACGCCCAACUGGUGGCUAGUAAUGACGAACUACAGAGGAAGCUCCACGAGUCUCAAGUGGCAUAUCAACACCUACAACAACACAUUAAUGCUCAGGAUGAGCUGAUUGCACGUCUCAGGGGCAUGUGAGAAGCUUCCAGGACAUGCUUUUAAGGAUAUAGCACCUUGGGUGAGAGUUAAUUCAAGAUCGAGUGACACUCGAAACAAAAUGGAGGGAAGAGCUUGCAAAACAGCAGCAAGAUUGGCUAGAGAGCAUGAACAAGACAAUUUGAUGACAACGAAAAUGUGAUAGACUUCUUGGAGAAAGAUCUAAAUACUGUGUACUGGAGGAGUAGGACUAUGCUUCAGACUGAAAAGAUCGAGGAACAUUUCAAUACUAACUCUUUUAAUUUUAUAAGUAGGAAACGGAGUAGCUGGGCAGACUAUUUGGCUGAAUAUUUACGUAAGUUUUAAUUUAUCUUCCAACUCGAUGGAUAAUAUAAGUUGAAAAUGUUGGAUUGAUAUAAUAUGCAACUCAGG